GAGUUUGAUCUUGGCUCAGAACGAACGCUGGCGGCGUGGAUAAGACAUGCAAGUCGAACGGGAGAAUUGCUAGCUUGCUAAUAAUUCUCUAGCGGCGCACGGGUGAGUAACACGUGAGUAACCUGCCCCCGAGAGCGGGAUAGCCCUGGGAAACUGGGAUUAGUACCGCAUAGUAUCGAAAGAUUAAAGCAGCAAUGCGCUUGGGGAUGGGCUCGCGGCCUAUUAGUUAGUUGGUGAGGUAACGGCUCACCAAGGCGAUGACGGGUAGCCGGUCUGAGAGGAUGUCCGGCCACACUGGAACUGAGACACGGUCCAGACACCUACGGGUGGCAGCAGUCGAGAAUCAUUCACAAUGGGGGAAACCCUGAUGGUGCGACGCCGCGUGGGGGAAUGAAGGUCUUCGGAUUGUAAACCCCUGUCAUGUGGGAGCAAAUUAAAAAGAUAGUACCACAAGAGGAAGAGACGGCUAAACUCUGUGCCAGCCG
Molecule: ribosomal RNA, 485 nt
Filed under: uncultured microorganism
Description: bacterial SSU rRNA
Rfam family: Bacterial small subunit ribosomal RNA
Source: RNAcentral